AAUAGAUACCCUGGUAGUCCACGCCGUAAAACGAUGUCGACUUGGAGGUUGUGCCCUUGAGGCGUGGCUUCCGGAGCUAACGCGUUAAGUCGACCGCCUGGGGAGUACGGCCGCAAGGUUAAAACUCAAAUGAAUUGACGGGGGCCCGCACAAGCGGUGGAGCAUGUGGUUUAAUUCGAUGCAACGCGAAGAACCUUACCUGGUCUUGACAUCCACAGAACUUUCCAGAGAUGGAUUGGUGCCUUCGGGAACUGUGAGACAGGUGCUGCAUGGCUGUCGUCAGCUCGUGUUGUGAAAUGUUGGGUUAAGUCCCGCAACGAGCGCAACCCUUAUCCUUUGUUGCCAGCGGUCCGGCCGGGAACUCAAAGGAGACUGCCAGUGAUAAACUGGAGGAAGGUGGGGAUGACGUCAAGUCAUCAUGGCCCUUACGACCAGGGCUACACACGUGCUACAAUGGCGCAUACAAAGAGAAGCGAACUCGCGAGAGCAAGCGGACCUCAUAAAGUGCGUCGUAGUCCGGA
RNAcentral lists this ribosomal RNA (521 nucleotides) under uncultured bacterium. RNAcentral describes it as "bacterial SSU rRNA". It matches the Rfam family "Bacterial small subunit ribosomal RNA", at positions 777 to 1297 of the family's 1533-position model. The record is from RNAcentral.